RNAcentral lists this ribosomal RNA (235 nucleotides) under uncultured bacterium. RNAcentral's name for it is "partial 16S ribosomal RNA". It matches the Rfam family "Bacterial small subunit ribosomal RNA", at positions 116 to 354 of the family's 1533-position model. The record is from RNAcentral.
UGUAGAGAAUCUGCCCUGUACUGGGGGACAACAGAGGGAAACUUCUGCUAAUACCCCAUAUGAGCGUACCUGCGAUGGUAUUCUUGAAAGUUCCGGCGGUACAGGAUGAGUCUGCAUCUGAUUAGCUAGUUGGUGGUGUAAUAGACUACCAAGGCGACGAUCAGUAGCUGGUUUGAGAGGAUGAUCAGCCACAAUGGGACUGAGACACGGCCCAUACUCCUACGGGAGGCAGCAG